GCCGUCUAUUAUCAUCUGCUACUUUGUCUGUCCGGUUAGCGGAGAAUUCGUUGAAGAUACGAUACUGAGGAGAAAUAUUCGUUUUAAGGACAAAUUUUGCAGCUUAUUAAUGUGGCAACAGCACCGCGCUAAUUAUCCUUAUUAAUGCAGUGGCGUCAGGAGAAGGAGACGGCAUCAUAAAAUUGUCAACUUUUUGUGUUUAAAAUCGCGAAAGUUGGCGAUUUUGUUUUGUUUUUGCGGUGCCUAUCUCUUGUUGUUGGUUGCGUUGAAGGAUUUACGUGCGUGGCGUCAGGAGGAUGGAGUCGCAUAUAUGUAUCUGCUAGUUUGCCUGACAAGUUUUGCGUUUUUCUGUUAUCGGAAGAUUAUUGAACAUACGAUACUGCGGAAAAUUAUGCAAUUUAGGGAAGGAUUUUGAGGCUUUUAAAUGUGGUGUCAGCUCCGCGCUAGUGAUCCUUGAUAAUGCAGUGGCAUCAGGAGGUGGAGACGGCGUCGUAAAAUUGUCAAUUUUUUGUGUUUAAAUUCGCGAAAGCUGCCGCUUUUGUUUUUCUUUUGCUGAGACCGCCUCUUCUUGUUGGUUGCAUUGGAUCACCAGUUGGCUGUGGUCAAGGAGAUUUUAGCGUCAACUAAUGUAGGCGCUCGUCGAGCUGGGAGAUUUUAAUUUUUACUUUGUACCCCCGCCAGAAGGACGGAAGCAUCGAGUCGCUGGAGGCCUCGAGAGUCAUUGGAGGUGAGUAUUAGUUGUGUUUUGGCAGGAAAUUAGCUGCGGACGCUGGAUGCGCGCCACUUGCAAUAUGUAUGUCCGGAAAGCGUUGCAUGUAGUUUAUUGGUGGUCAGCUUCGCCGGUCGUCGGGAAGAGGAAGCCUGAAGAAAGGUCCCGCACAGCGGUCGUCACGUAGUUUUGGAGCUGCUGCCAUUAUUGUGGUGGGAUCUGUCUCGUUUUGGCAGAGGAGUCGUCAGUGAUGAUUGUGGCUUGGUCGUUCAUCUAGAGUGGCUAGGUGCGCCGCGUUUUGUGGCCAUUUCGCCAGGGUUUGCAGCUUGGAGCCUCCGGAACGUGAUUAGUUGCCGAGGGCCGUCGCAACGAUUGGGUCCAUGGAAAUGGAAGUAAAAUUAGAGAUUGGGUAUAUUUGGUGGGAGGUACAUUAGAUGGAAGCUAAUCUGGUGGUACGUUUUGUAACUAAUUAGGAGGCCCUUUGUUUUUGGAACAUAGCAACGGAAGAGCCGCGGGUUUAGUGUCGUUGUUGUUGCUGCUGGCUUCACUUUUAGAUACUGUUGCGCGCGCGCCUCUGUCGGUUUUAUAAUCUCAACUGACUUUCAAAAUUGGGCUAGGCGCGUAGGCGGGCUUUUUCGAUAGCUCAAAGGCACGGCGGAAUAUCGAUAUGCUAUCAAUUUCCCUGCAGCUCGUUAUCGAUAUUUCGCCCCUUUUUUUUGG
This is a long non-coding RNA of Drosophila mauritiana, 1429 nucleotides long. RefSeq lists it as uncharacterized. The record is from RefSeq and is a predicted model, not a curated record. The transcript is spliced from 9 exons. NCBI's taxonomy places the organism in Eukaryota, Metazoa, Arthropoda, Insecta, Diptera, Drosophilidae.